CCUCCGCUGCGCUCCCGACGUCCCGUCGGAGCCGGUGCCCGAGACCGCCCCGUCGCGUCAACGUGCUCCCGGAGCUCGAUGCCCGGCCCCUUUCCCGCCGAGAUAAGAGCCGUGCCCCUUUCCUCUCCUCUUCCUCCUCUUCCCCCGUUUCUUCUCCCUCCUGCUUCUCUUUUUGUGUUCUUCUUCCCUGCCACCCAGUCCGGUGGCAGCUCGACCUCCUCUGGCUCCGCGCGGGUGAGCUCCGCCGCCUCCACGACCGCGCGAGCACGAGCUUCGCUGUCCUCGUCACGCAAGGGAUAUCCAUGGCGGGCCCCCUACGCUUCCUCCCCAGCUUCAACGCCACCGCGUCCGCGUUGAUCGGCCAAGGUUCAGCUCGACCUCCUCGGUCUCCACCUACUCUCCGCGGCUGCCGCCCGCUCCGCGGGAUCCAGAUCCGGCCUCCCCCUCCACCUCCUCGUCCCCGCUCACCCCGUCCUCACUCUGCUCCGCCAUCCACCCCCGCGCGCCCGCUCCGUCGGUGCAUCUCCUUGGCCAGACCACACAGCAUCGGCAGUGCCAUCCCCUCCUCCACGGCAGUCCCGCCGGGCACGGCACAGCUCGCCAAGUCUGCCUCCAUCAUCAGGCGGGCUCCCGCUGAACAAGUCUGACCUCAACCACCGUCGAUCUGGCUUAGCCUCCAGAAGCCCGUGGUGCGCGCGCCGCAAGCUCCAGCAAGCAGAUCUGGUGCGGUGGUGACGACUGCCGUGAGGAGGUCUACACCAUGUUCGUCUGCUUGGACUGCAGUAAAGCAUGCACUUUGUUAAUUAAAUCAUCUUAAUUUCUGGUUUGAUUUUCCCAUCUGGAUGGUAAACUUUGAUUUUCAGCUAAGUGUUUGUUCUUUUUCCAGUGCCAAGUAAUGGAACAGAUUAAUUGAUAUGCUUCUUCUUUCUCUUGAAGAAUCUGAUUAAAGUAAUAAAAUUGAACAUGCCCCUCCUUUCUCUGAUGAGCCUUUCCUUUACUUUCUCCAUGCUUAUGUGAAGCUUUCAAUUUUCUGUUAAAACUGUGCCGCAGGUUGCAAGACUUAAAUGCUAGAAGCCAGAAACAAGGGUUCCAUUGGUUACUCAAUUAAAUUUGAAGAUACUCCAUGUUUUCUAAAUUCCAAAAAAAAAAAUUAGUCUUCGACUGCCCAUCUGAGCAUUGUAUGGGAUUGUUCUUUCUUUCUUGUAUACCAAAAAAAACAAAAAAAAAACAAAGUGCAGCAAUCUGAACCUUUUCUGAUCAGAGAGCAUUACUCUGAUAAAAUAAAAUACAUGUAAGCUUCUACCCUCAUAUAUACACUGCUUAGAUGAAUAUUAUUUCUAUCAAUGCUAAUCGCUAUCCUGCAUUUGUGAUUCACAUUGCUCAUGUUUUUAUGUUAAUGAAGGUCUUGCCUGCAUCUGUUUCAGUGAAAUAGGCAACAUCAAAUUUAGUUUUGUGUGAUUUCAAAUUCACCUGCGGUGAGAUUAACUUCUUGCCACAGCAAACAGUAAUUAUUUGGAGCUAACUCAUGGGAUAUGACAAGUAAUCCUUUCUGUUGUUUGUUCUAAUUGUUUGCCUAAUUGUAAUUACUAAUUCGUUACAAUUUGAGAUUGUUAGUAAUUGUUUUGGUCUCCUGUUGGCAUUAAUUUGUAUCCACUUGAGGCUGAGUACAGUAAAAGAAUACUUGUGGCUAGUGAUGCAUAAUAAGGGCCAUGCUCGUGCCUCCUUUAGUUUCAGUUAUAGAAGUUUCAGUUAUAAAGAACCUAACCUAUCUUGUUGCCUGUAUAUGGAAUCAGGAUAGCAAUUUUAUAUGUGUUGAUCACUCAAUGUUAAUAUAUUCUAACAUGAUUUGAUUUGAGUAUAUUGUACUAUUUUCAACAUGCUUGUUGGUUUAUCAUAAGUAUUUUCUUAUUACGAUUGAAGCAAACUAACCUUCCGGAUAUGUAUAACUAAAUGGCAUUUGAAUUACUCUUAUGUUACUCUAUCCUUUGUAGCAAAUAUUGAUGCAUCAUACUCAUUGGCAAUCAUGCAUGUUCUGAAGCCAGCAAACUCGUGAAGGAUUGUGUGUGGCCGCACAAGUUGAGUUGAUCUCAUCCUAUCUAUGUAUGCUGGAUUUACUCAGCUCACAAUAGUUGAUAUGCUAAUUAUCAAAUGUAUAUACCCAACCUGAACAAUAUUGAAUUAAAUAUACAGUGUUUAAUCAAAUAUAGAACCUAUCAUGUUCCAGUA
Molecule: long non-coding RNA, 2226 nt
Organism: Panicum virgatum (switchgrass)
Lineage: Eukaryota; Viridiplantae; Streptophyta; Magnoliopsida; Poales; Poaceae
Exons: 3
Source: RefSeq, a predicted model, not a curated record